Non-coding RNA from Schistocephalus solidus, 83 nucleotides. The record is from Rfam. NCBI's taxonomy places the organism in Eukaryota, Metazoa, Platyhelminthes, Cestoda, Diphyllobothriidea, Diphyllobothriidae.
GGCCUCGUAGCUCAGUUGACUAGAGCGUUGGCUGUACUAAAGCCUUCUCCUUGCUGGCGUGGGUUCUAAUCCCAACAAGGUCA